RNAcentral lists this ribosomal RNA (301 nucleotides) under uncultured bacterium. RNAcentral describes it as "partial 16S ribosomal RNA". It matches the Rfam family "Bacterial small subunit ribosomal RNA", at positions 509 to 809 of the family's 1533-position model. The record is from RNAcentral.
CAGCAGCCGCGGGAAAACGAAGGGGGCUAGCGUUGCUCGGAAUGACUGGGCGUAAAGGGCGCGUAGGCGGUUUGGCAAGUCUCGUGUGAAAUCUAUGGGCUCAACCCAUAGCCUGCACGAGAAACUACCGGGCUUGAGUAUUGGAGAGGUGAGUGGAAUUUCCGGUGUAGCGGUGAAAUGCGUAGAUAUCGGAAGGAACACCUGUGGCGAAAGCGGCUCACCGGACAAUAACUGACGCUGAUGCACGAAAGCUAGGGGAGCAAACAGGAUUAGAUACCCGGGUAGUCCCUGUCUCUUAUAA